RNAcentral lists this transfer RNA (73 nucleotides) under Monodelphis domestica (gray short-tailed opossum). It matches the Rfam family "tRNA". From Rfam's summary of the family: Transfer RNA (tRNA) molecules are approximately 80 nucleotides in length. Their secondary structure includes four short double-helical elements and three loops (D, anti-codon, and T loops). The record is from Rfam by way of RNAcentral. Lineage: Eukaryota; Metazoa; Chordata; Mammalia; Didelphimorphia; Didelphidae.
GGCAAGGUAGUACAGUGGAUAGAGUACCAGACCUGGAAUCAGGAAAACCUGGGUUCAAAUCCCAUCAUUGACA